UACGUAGGGGGCUAGCUUUGUCCGGAAUCAUUGGGCGUAAAGCGCGUGUAGGCGGCCCGGUAAGUCCGCUGUAAAAGUCAGGGGCUCAACCCUUGAAAGCCGGCCGAUACUGUCUGGCUAGAGUCCGGAAGGGGCGAGUGGAAUUCCUGGUGUAGCGGUGAAAUGCGCAGAUAUCAGGAGGAACACCAAUGGCGAAGGCAGCUCGCUGGGACGGUACUGACGCUGAGGCGCGAAAGCGUGGGGAGCGAACAGG
RNAcentral lists this ribosomal RNA (253 nucleotides) under uncultured bacterium. RNAcentral describes it as "partial 16S ribosomal RNA". It matches the Rfam family "Bacterial small subunit ribosomal RNA", at positions 524 to 776 of the family's 1533-position model. The record is from RNAcentral.